RNAcentral lists this ribosomal RNA (976 nucleotides) under Sphingobacterium kitahiroshimense. RNAcentral describes it as "bacterial SSU rRNA". It matches the Rfam family "Bacterial small subunit ribosomal RNA", at positions 90 to 1069 of the family's 1533-position model. The record is from RNAcentral. Lineage: Bacteria; Pseudomonadati; Bacteroidota; Sphingobacteriia; Sphingobacteriales; Sphingobacteriaceae.
UGAGAGUGGCGCACGGGUGCGUAACGCGUGAGCAACCUACCCAUAUCAGGGGGAUAGCCUCUCGAAAGAGAGAUUAACACCGCAUAACAUCAUUUACCGGCAUCGGUUUUUGAUCAAAUAUUUAUAGGAUAUGGAUGGGCUCGCGUGACAUUAGCUAGUUGGAGAGGUAACGGCUCACCAAGGCUACGAUGUCUAGGGGCUCUGAGAGGAGAAUCCCCCACACUGGUACUGAGACACGGACCAGACUCCUACGGGAGGCAGCAGUAAGGAAUAUUGGUCAAUGGAGGCAACUCUGAACCAGCCAUGCCGCGUGCAGGAUGACUGCCCUAUGGGUUGUAAACUGCUUUUGUCAGGGAAUAAACCUUUCUACGUGUAGGAAGCUGAAUGUACCUGAAGAAUAAGGAUCGGCUAACUCCGUGCCAGCAGCCGCGGUAAUACGGAGGAUCCAAGCGUUAUCCGGAUUUAUUGGGUUUAAAGGGUGCGUAGGCGGUCCUAUAAGUCAGUGGUGAAAGACGGCAGCUUAACUGUCGCAGUGCCUUUGAUACUGUAGGACUUGAAUCUAUUUGAAGUGGGCGGAAUAAGACAAGUAGCGGUGAAAUGCAUAGAUAUGUCUUAGAACUCCGAUUGCGAAGGCAGCUCACUAAGUUAGUAUUGACGCUGAUGCACGAAAGCGUGGGGAUCAAACAGGAUUAGAUACCCUGGUAGUCCACGCCCUAAACGAUGAUAACUCGAUGUUUGCGAUACACAGUAAGCGUCCAAGCGAAAGCGUUAAGUUAUCCACCUGGGGAGUACGGUCGCAAGAUUGAAACUCAAAGGAAUUGACGGGGGCCCGCACAAGCGGAGGAGCAUGUGGUUUAAUUCGAUGAUACGCGAGGAACCUUACCCGGGCUUGAAAGUUAGUGAAUGAUCCAGAGACGGAUCAGUCCUUCGGGACACGAAACUAGGUGCUGCAUGGCUGUCGUCAGCUCGUGCCGUG